UUUACAGCAUAAGCUGGAAGUGGUGGCGCACAGAUAGAAUCAAAUUAGAUCUUAAUGAAACUGCCAACAAGCACUUUUGUAAUUUAGAAGGAGCAAUGGAAGAAAGGCAUGGGGUUUGUUGCCUGUCAAUCCGGGCAUCAUGGAAUGCAAUUAUCGUUGGUCAGUGCAACAGGGACAACCAUUUUGGAUACAAAUCUAAGUUAAUGAAUUUGCUCAAAGCAGGCCAGGAUAGAUGUUUUUGGCUGUUCGGAUGAAGCAAGAGGUAUGCGCUCUAGCCUCUAUAUCCCCACAUCUGUUGAUGCUAAUAUAUUUUGAAGAUUUCUUUGAUCAACCCUUGCCUGAUUUAUGUUCAAUGUGCCAAACUGUUGGCAGAUGCCAUGGAUUGGAGAUGAAAUAGUCUAAUAGAUGUGUUUGUUUAACAUGUUAUGUGUUUUUUUGCCCGACAUUCGUAUUUAGUUCCUCUCAGUUGGGAUUCCUAAUAUCUUACAUGGCGGUGCUGUAAGUAUGCCAACAUCCGUUGUGUUUCACGCUUUGUUGCUUUGAGAAUUGACAUGAGCUUUUUUAUUUUUCUUGAAAGUUGGUAAUGGUAUCUAUUCCAUUUGA
Molecule: long non-coding RNA, 603 nt
Organism: Pyrus x bretschneideri (Chinese white pear)
Lineage: Eukaryota; Viridiplantae; Streptophyta; Magnoliopsida; Rosales; Rosaceae
Exons: 2
Source: RefSeq, a predicted model, not a curated record